GAGAUACUUUAUUCCGGACACGGAAGUUUUGGAGAACAUGCGUCCUUUGGACUGUAAAAGUCUGCUUGCUGACGGUUUUACUGCGUCCUGUGUUUAUACGAUCUAUCCCUGGUACAACCGUUCAGUGGAUGUUUACUGUGAUAUGGAUAUUAAAAAUGGAGGUUGGACGGUUAUACAGAGGCGUGUUGACGGAUCAACG
Molecule: long non-coding RNA, 199 nt
Organism: Saccostrea cuccullata (small rock oyster)
Lineage: Eukaryota; Metazoa; Mollusca; Bivalvia; Ostreida; Ostreidae
Exons: 3
Source: RefSeq, a predicted model, not a curated record